This is a long non-coding RNA of Apis mellifera (honey bee), 1095 nucleotides long. RefSeq lists it as uncharacterized. NCBI's taxonomy places the organism in Eukaryota, Metazoa, Arthropoda, Insecta, Hymenoptera, Apidae. The record is from RefSeq and is a predicted model, not a curated record. The transcript has 5 exons.
AUAAAAAAAAUAUUAAACACUCUUGGAAUCACUUCAUAAUUGCACAUUUAAAAAUUUGAUAUUUGAUGAUUAUGUUAAAAAAAAUUACAAAUGAAAUGUUGCAUUAAAGCAAUAUUAGAUCUUAAUGAAUUAAUUUAUUGAAAAAAACAAAGAACGAACAUUCGCUCAUUUAGUUUAAACGCACUUUACAUACGCAACAUGUUGCAUCGGAAGAGAAAGACUAGUAUCCUAUCCACUCGUAGAUUGUACUUCCCUCUAUCGAGCACGAUGCAAGUUGCGCGGUGGGACGAGUAAACAAAGUUCGAAGUUGGCAUUUCGCCUGUAGCCUAUUCACUACACCGCAGACGACAUGAUCGCUAGCAUACUCUCACCCCCUGCACUAUUCCCGGACACCGGAACCGAAUGCAGUCUGAAGUAUUCUGCAACCUAGCAACUCUUCAGAAUACACAUUGUUUGCCCGGCGAAACAUGUAUUUGAUCUGUAUAAUCCUACGUAAUUGCUGAUAUCGAUGCUGAUGUUAAUCCUUAAGAGAAAAAAAGUUACCACCAUUACAGUCAUAAUUACCGUUCUGCAAAGCCUAACGAAAGAAAGCUAUUAUAUUAUUAUCCUUAAGAAUCGAUCCUCUAAAAUGCUUCACGAAUACAUUAAUACAUAAUACAUUAACAACUGGUGGAAUGUAUAAACUUCUGAUGGCAAUAUACAAUGCCAAAGUUGAAAUUGGAUGGAUAUAACUCAACAAUAAUUAAGUAUACAGAAAGUAGUCAAUCUAUUAUUUAUAUUAUGAAUUAAUCUGAUUGAAGUUUUAUAUGUAAUCGAAUAUGUUAAUUAUUUGAUUUUAAGAUGAUAAAAUACAAUUCAAAUACUGAUUCGAAUAAAUAACGAUAAAAAUGACGAUCAAAUAAUUAUGCUCGUUUUAAAAUGACUUGCUAUGCAAUUAAAGGUGUGCAAGUGUAAUAAGAUGAGAAUAUGCGGAAGGAAAACACGAGUACUCGAGAUGAAACCUUGGAACUUCAUCCGAUUUGUUUCCUAUCGAAUUAUGAUAAGAAAAAAAAUACUGAAAAUAAAAAAGUGGAAGAUCCUAAUUUUUUAUCUAAA